CGACUCUUAGCUCAGUCAGGUAAGAGCGACCGGUUGAAACCCGGUGCGCCCCCGUUCGAUUCGGGGAGAGUUGGC
This 75-nucleotide transfer RNA is filed under the name Mycobacterium phage prophiGD54-2. RNAcentral describes it as "tRNA-Phe". It matches the Rfam family "tRNA". From Rfam's summary of the family: Transfer RNA (tRNA) molecules are approximately 80 nucleotides in length. Their secondary structure includes four short double-helical elements and three loops (D, anti-codon, and T loops). Lineage: Duplodnaviria; Heunggongvirae; Uroviricota; Caudoviricetes; Vilmaviridae. The record is from RNAcentral.